AUAUCCGCAGGGCGGAGCGAGCACUCAGUAAGAAAGGAUAGCUUUUCUCCCUUUUCUGCUUCGCUCCCAACUAAGAAUGCAGAGUCAGGGAGAUGGCGCAGAGACAAUGCUGCUGUCCAUUGAAGCCCUCCAAAGGUCGGAGAUUCGAUCACAGGACAGCCUGGCCUGGACCAAGUCAGGUUGAUAUGGCUAGGCGGCCUGCUGGCGAGAUAGUGGGAGUGGGCGGUCCGCCCCUCAGGACCUCUGACUUGGACAGAUGACUGGAUGACUCUCUGGGGCAGCAUUCACCGGAACUCAUAUGGAGGGGACUGCCUGAGAAACCAACCUGUGUGCCUGGGUCAGGUUGAUAUGGCUAGGCGGCCUGCUGGCGAGAUAGUGGGAGUGGGCGGCCCGCCCCUCAGGACCUCUGACCUGGACAGAUGACUGGAUGACUCUCUGGGGCAGCAUUCACCGGAACUCAUAUGGAGAGGACUGCCUGAGAAACCAACCUGUGUGCCUGGGUCAGGUUGAUAUGGCUAGGCGGCCUGCUGGCGAGAUAGUGGGAGUGGGCGGUCCGCCCCUCAGGACCUCUGAUUUGGACAGAUGACUGGAUGACUCUCUGGGGCAGCAUUCACCGGAACUCAUAUGGAGGGGACUGCCUGAGAAACCAACCUGUGUGCCUGGGUCAGGUUGAUAUGGCUAGGCGGCCUGCUGGCGAGAUAGUGGGAGUGGGCGGUCCGCCCCUCAGGACCUCUGACUUGGACAGAUGACUGGAUGACUCUCUGGGGCAGCAUUCACCGGAACUCAUAUGGAGGGGGCUGCCUGAGAAACCAACCUGUGUGCCUGGGUCAGGUUGAUAUGGCUAGGCGGCCUGCUGGCGAGAUAGUGGGAGUGGGCGGUCCGCCCCUCAGGACCUCUGACUUGGACAGAUGACUGGAUGACUCUCUGGGGCAGCAUUCACCGGAACUCAUAUGGAGGGGGCUGCCUGAGAAACCAACCUGUGUGCCUGGGUCAGGUUGAUAUGGCUAGGCGGCCUGCUGGCGAGAUAGUGGGAGUGGGCGGUCCGCCCCUCAGGACCUCUGACUUGGACAGAUGACUGGAUGACUCUCUGGGGCAGCAUUCACCGGAACUCAUAUGGAGGGGGCUGCCUGAGAAACCAACCUGUGUGCCUGGGUCAGGUUGAUAUGGCUAGGCGGCCUGCUGGCGAGAUAGUGGGAGUGGGCGGUCCGCCCCUCAGGACCUCUGACUUGGACAGAUGACUGGAUGACUCUCUGGGGCAGCAUUCACCGGAACUCAUAUGGAGGGGGCUGCCUGAGAAACCAACCUGUGUGCCUGGCCCACCACCUACCAGAGGUAUUGGAAAAGAACGGAUACGGAGGAAGUGGACCCAUUUAGAGCUAAAGAUAUGGAUACCCCAGGCUGUGAAGAACUGUUAGGAGGUGUGGCAAUGCUAGGACCUUAUGAGCUAAGGUAAGCGAUUUAAUUUUUGCUCUAAAUAUUAUGGGGAUUUUCAUACUCUGAUCAUCUCUCCUGUUACAAGGAUAUCAGCACCUCCUUUAUCCCCAGGGCUACUUACUCCUUCUACCUUUGAUUAAGGAGGCAUCACAUCUUCCCACUGAAGAAAAGGGACCCUCUGAUCAUACCAGUUUGUCCAAAGAAGGCUUCGACAUUCAUUUAGGUCGAGGAAUCCCACACAACUUGCUCAUAUUAUGGACUGAAACUUAGAUAUUUUUCCUAAUGUUUCCCAGAUUUUUCCUUCAUAUCAAGGUAAACUCUAGGUUUAAAAAGGUUUCAAUGAAGAAUCUUUGACAUAAAUACUCUGUCAAGGAAGAAACUUACAUUUUAUCUUUGAAAUAGGGAAAAAUACACACCCUGAAAUUUGAACGGAGCUUAAUACAAAUUCUGCUGCUUAAGGAGCCUACAGAAAAGCCACUGACAUGAAAAACUCAAGCAGAUGUUCAUUUUUUCUCAAGGAUACUUGAAAUUAACAUCUCUUAACCAUGUGUACUUCAGAAAAUCCACUUUUAUCCAUAGAAUCCUGAGGUCUAUUCCUCUAGGAGGUCCUAAAGUUUCCCUUCUGACCUUGGUGGCCAGGCAUGCUCAAAUAAAAGAAGGAUGUCAAACACUCUGAAAUGAUGUUCUGGGACAUGACAGUAAAAAUAUGAUCCCUAAUCUAACUUCUAUUUUUAAGGCUGUCACUUGAAAUGGAGCAGUUCCAUCUUAGUUGCCCAUGCCUGCGAUGCUGCUGUACAGCUUGUGGAGAACAUAGAGCUAGAGAUUACCAAACAAUUUGUAAGAAAAAUGUUCUGAUUGCUGGCAAGCACACCUCAAAGUCUCAGAACACAUGGGUAUUCUGGACUAUGAGGACAUUUGCACUUUGUAAGCUAUUUUUGACAUCUUCUUCCAAUUCGCAAGGUAAACUUUUGCCUGAGAGAUUCUGUGACCUUCCUGCUCUUCCUUAUCCUCCCAACAUAUUCUCUUUCUCAAAAAUAACAUUCCCAUAUAUGGUCAAAGUAGUUUUAUACCUAACUGAUUAGGUAUAUUUCCAAAUGUGACUCAUUAUGUAAACAAGGUACCCUAGUCCACUCUGGUUUGAGGUUCCACAGUCCAAGUUACAAAUCAGAGCAAAGAACCUGUGCCAUCUGCCUUCAGGCAAGUCAAAAGAAAUGUAAUAACUUCAUUAAUUCUACCUAGACCUGGAUAGAUGAACAAAGUCAAAGAAGUAUCCUAGCCUUUGGAAGAAGAAAUAUGUUGCUGCCUUAUCUCUCCCGAAUGAGCACAAACUAUGAAAAUACAAAACUCUGAAUAAGAAUUGGAAACUUACGAUCAUUGCUGGAAACAUUCUCCACUGUAUAAGAUGUGUGCAGCUGAACACGUCGAGGAAACAUAAGUGCUUGCAUAACUACUUAUCCUGUUGGAAGAUUUUUGUGACCAUUGCCUGGACUCUCAAAGAUGUUACACAGAGUAUGCAUAUGGGGAAAAUACUAGCAAGCUAGUGAGGCAGAGUCUGAACAUUCCUCCAGUACCCAAUGGAGUCUAGAACCUUCCUCUGCUGACCAUGGGUGAACUAGAUAUUUCUGUCCUACAAAGUAUGACUGGGGACCUCUACCUUGGGAACCAAGACAUUCAGGAUUUCUCUUCUGUUGAAGGUGGUCUAAGAAUUUCCCAUUCUGAGAAACAGUUAUUAGAACUCCUGUGUUAGUCAAAUACUCCACACUGUUGUCUAGAGAACUGUGCCUUGGUCCUUCCAUUCCCCAACAAUGUGGCCUCGGAUCUUGCCCACCUCUGCAAGAGGGAAUGUUAACCGCUGUCUUUGACAAAAGGAAGCUUACACAUUCCUUUAUUCCAAAGGUGACAUUAGAUAUGCUCUUUUGAAUAGCAGUGUAUCACGCCAUGUAUCCUCAAGCAUCCUCUUAUGUCUUUGAACUACAUCCAAUCUAUAUUCUCUAAAUAAGGAAGAUUCAAACCUUUCACCUUUUAUCAGAAUGGCAAGGGAAAUAUAUUGUUCCUCUCUGGUGUGUGGUCCCAGGCCAUCUGUGUAGAAUUAUUGACAGGAUCCUAUGUUAUGCUCUGCAAUCUAAUCAAAUUUUUGCGACCCAUAUAUGGACAUAUCAAGACAAACUGGAGGAGGAAACCUAGCCAGGGACAGACAUCCAGGCUGUUUGAAAAAUGCUUGGGUUGUUGCUUGAACUCCCCCAGACUAAACACGAGAUGUGGAACUUCUACCAACUAAGGAAGAGUUGGAAGCUGAAGAGCAGUGGAGUGUCGCACCCACCUCGUCUGGCAAGGAAGACACAACACGGUCUACAAGGCAUGACUAUGCCAGUGCCUGCAAAGUUCAAACAAGAUAAAAAGGGAUUGGGUUUUUCCUAGGGGCCGUUGAGGGUGGUAUACCCAUUACUUGGAAAACAGAGGAGCCUGUAUGGGUUCCUCAAUGGCCUCUUUCCUCUGAAAAAUUAGUAGCUGCCAAAGAAUUAGUAGAGGAACAAUUGAAAUUAUGAUAUAUUAAACCUUCCCAGUCACCUUGGAAUAUACCCAUAUUUGUGACUAAGUAAAAAUCAGGCAAAUGGAGGCUCCUGCAUGAUCUUCAAGCCAUUAAUAAUCAGAUGCAGAUUAUGGGCCCCAUACAGAGAGGUCUGCCCCUACUUUCUAGUUUGCCCAAAGAGUGGCCUAUUAUAAUCAUUGAUAUUAAGGAUUAUUUUUUUCUCUAUUCCCCUUGCAUUGUGUGAUAGCGAACACUUUGCCUUUACUCUUCCUUCUGUGAAUAAUGAAGAGCCUGAUAAAUGGUAUCAGUGGAUAGUUUUACCUCAAGGGGUGGCAAACAGACCUACUAUGUGUCAACUUUUUGUAGGAGAAGCCCUACAACCUGUCCAUGAUGCAUUCCC
RNAcentral lists this long non-coding RNA (4364 nucleotides) under Mus musculus (house mouse). Its description in RNAcentral is "Dxz4 macrosatellite". Lineage: Eukaryota; Metazoa; Chordata; Mammalia; Rodentia; Muridae. The record is from RNAcentral.